This 1103-nucleotide long non-coding RNA is filed under the name Callithrix jacchus (white-tufted-ear marmoset). RNAcentral's name for it is "lncRNA (ENSCJAG00000075668.1)". Lineage: Eukaryota; Metazoa; Chordata; Mammalia; Primates; Cebidae. The record is from RNAcentral.
AACAUGUAGAGGGUAGAGGCCAGGGAUGCUGCUAAACAUCCUACAAGACACAGGACAGUUCCCACCACAAGGACUUAUCUAGGUGCAGAUGUCAAUACUGGGGAGGCCAUGAAACCCUGUCCUAGGCAACAGGCCAGUAGGCAAGAUGGCAGGGUGUCCUCCCUUCUGUCCCAAUCCACGAAACAUGGUUUGUUUGCAUGUGUAUGUGUGUGAUUUUUAUGUGACAAAAGUUGUGCUCAAAAUUGAGAGAGAUAAAAAGGAAUUUCACUGACUUAAGAGAGGAAAUAAAGUACAGUGGGUAAGAGUACUGACUCAAGAGCCUGACUUCCCUCCAUUCAAACCCCAGCCCCAUCACUCACGAGCUGUGUGUACCUGGGCAAGUUCCAUAUCCUCUUUGGAUAUUUUCUCCUCUGUAACAUACUCCCAGACAGCCGGACAUACAUUGUAAUCUUGCGAUGAUUAAAUGAAUUCUUACAUAGAAAGUCUUUGAGUAAACCUGCCACAUAGUAAAAACUAAGUUUUUCUUCCCUCUCUCUUCCUUUCUCUUUCUCCUUCUCUCCCUAUAUGCUACUUAAGAUGCCUGGGACAGAUUAUGAGUCCUCAGACCAAAAGAGGCUUGACUUUCCACAAAGGGGAGCAAGAGACCUGGCAGCAAUGUGGUUUAUGGAAAAGAGUCCGGGAAAACAGAAGAGGAGAAAAUACUACCCAAUUUGUUUUAUGAAGCGAAUAUUGUCCGGAUACCAAAACCAGACAAAGAUAGUUUAAAACAAGCCAAAACUACAGGCCAAAAUCUUUCCUGAACAUAGACACAAACAUCCUUAACAAAGCAUUAGUGAAUACAAUUCAGCAAUAUAUAAAAAUAAUUAUACAAUAUAACCAAGGGAGUUUAUUUCCAGAAUGCAAGACUGACUCAAUAUACCAAAAUUGAGCACCACAGUAACACACUGAAAAAGAAAAAUCACAAAUAUAUUAAUUGUUGCAAAAAAGUCAUGUGAGAGAAUUCAGCAGCCAUUCAUGGUAACAACUCUCAGAACAGCAGGAACACAGAGGAGUAUCAUCAAUUUGAUAAUGGACAUCUAUUAAAACACUACUACAGCUAACAU